Molecule: ribosomal RNA, 253 nt
Filed under: uncultured bacterium
Lineage: Bacteria
Description: partial 16S ribosomal RNA
Rfam family: Bacterial small subunit ribosomal RNA
Source: RNAcentral
UACGUAGGGUGCGAGCGUUGUCCGGAAUUAUUGGGCGUAAAGGGCUCGUAGGCGGUUUGUCGCGUCGGGAGUGAAAACAUCCAGCUUAACUGGGUGCUUGCUUUCGAUACGGGCAGACUUGAGGUAUGCAGGGGAGAAUGGAAUUCCUGGUGUAGCGGUGAAAUGCGCAGAUAUCUGGAGGAAUACCGGUGGCGAAGGCGGCAUCCUGGACCGACAUUGACGCUGAGGAGCGAAAGCUAGGGGAGCAAACGGG